RNAcentral lists this ribosomal RNA (282 nucleotides) under Salmonella enterica. Its description in RNAcentral is "partial 23S ribosomal RNA". It matches the Rfam family "Bacterial large subunit ribosomal RNA", at positions 1100 to 1381 of the family's 2925-position model. The record is from RNAcentral. Lineage: Bacteria; Pseudomonadati; Pseudomonadota; Gammaproteobacteria; Enterobacterales; Enterobacteriaceae. RNAcentral also lists the same sequence under 1 other name.
GUUGGCUUAGAAGCAGCCAUCAUUUAAAGAAAGCGUAAUAGCUCACUGGUCGAGUCGGCCUGCGCGGAAGAUGUAACGGGGCUAAACCAUGCACCGAAGCUGCGGCAGCGACACUGUGUGUUGUUGGGUAGGGGAGCGUUCUGUAAGCCUGUGAAGGUGUGUCGUGAGGCAUGCUGGAGGUAUCAGAAGUGCGAAUGCUGACAUAAGUAACGAUAAAGCGGGUGAAAAGCCCGCUCGCCGGAAGACCAAGGGUUCCUGUCCAACGUUAAUCGGGGCAGGGUG